RNAcentral lists this unclassified non-coding RNA (307 nucleotides) under Hevea brasiliensis (rubber tree). The record is from RNAcentral. Lineage: Eukaryota; Viridiplantae; Streptophyta; Magnoliopsida; Malpighiales; Euphorbiaceae.
UAGGAGUUGAGGUUGUCACUUGUCCUAGCUUGUCUAUAUGGCCUUUGAUUCUGUUGAAUUAGUUCUAGUUAUUCUAUGCUCCGUUUCAUUGCACCUAGUGGCUAGUCCAUCCCUUUUUUUAGCCCUAUUUUGCCUUGUUAAAAUACUGAACUCUACUCAGCUUCAAUCCUAGGCUUGUUCGGGUUAGCUAUAUGGAUCAUUUCCUUCAUUAUGUUCAGAGAUUAAUGGUCCUUCUACACAUGGUUGCUUCAUUCAGUGAUACCAAAAAAUUUCUUGAUAAAUAUGCAGCCAUGCAUCUCAUGGACAA